This 253-nucleotide ribosomal RNA is filed under the name uncultured bacterium. RNAcentral's name for it is "partial 16S ribosomal RNA". It matches the Rfam family "Bacterial small subunit ribosomal RNA", at positions 524 to 776 of the family's 1533-position model. The record is from RNAcentral.
UACGUAGGGUGCGAGCGUUAAUCGGAAUUACUGGGCGUAAAGCGUGCGCAGGCGGUUAUGCAAGACAGAUGUGAAAUCCCCGGGCUCAACCUGGGAACUGCAUUUGUGACUGCAUGGCUGGAGUGCGGCAGAGGGGGAUGGAAUUCCGCGUGUAGCAGUGAAAUGCGUAGAUAUGCGGAGGAACACCGAUGGCGAAGGCAAUCCCCUGGGCCUGCACUGACGCUCAUGCACGAAAGCGUGGGGAGCAAACAGG